AACGAACGCUGGCGGCAUGCCUAACACAUGCAAGUCGAACGAUGCCUUCGGGCAUAGUGGCGCACGGGUGCGUAACGCGUGGGAAUCUGCCUUUCGGUUCGGAAUAACUCAGGGAAACUUGAGCUAAUACCGGAUAACGUCGCAAGACCAAAGAUUUAUCACCGAAAGAUGAGCCCGCGUAGGAUUAGCUAGUUGGUGAGGUAAAGGCUCACCAAGGCGACGAUCCUUAGCUGGUCUGAGAGGAUGAUCAGCCACACUGGGACUGAGACACGGCCCAGACUCCUACGGGAGGCAGCAGUGGGGAAUAUUGAACAAUGGGCGAAAGCCUGAUCCAGCAAUGCCGCGUGAGUGAUGAAGGCCUUAGGGUUGUAAAGCUCUUUUACCCGGGAAGAUAAUGACGGUACCGGGAGAAUAAGCCCCGGCUAACUCCGUG
Molecule: ribosomal RNA, 433 nt
Filed under: uncultured bacterium
Lineage: Bacteria
Description: partial 16S ribosomal RNA
Rfam family: Bacterial small subunit ribosomal RNA
Source: RNAcentral